CCACAAAUUGUUUUUAUCACUGAAUAGUAACACACAUUCCUUAUCCUCUCACACACAACACGUUUCAUAUCCACACCAUGUAGGCACACUACUCUUUUAUCUCUUUCACUCCAUAAUUUUCUUGCUUUGUCUUCUUCGUGGUAACGCCUAAAUUGGCUGUUAAAGCAAAACAAACAGUAGUAGCUCAGUGCUGGCUAUUCUUCUCUGUUGACAGUAGCAGAAACACAAGAAUUAAAACAGUCUCAGGAGGAAAAUGGUGCUGCAGCCGUAGGCUACACAACACAGUAAAACGUUGUUGUUGCCAGCGCUCCACCAGCUGAACUUUCACUCCACGCCAGGAUGAACUUUUCUAAACCUAAAGAGCGGGGAGAUGCAGGCAGCAGUGAGGCACCACCUCGGUAGGCUUCGACGGCCGGCGCAGGCCAACCCGGUAGAUCAAAUAGUCCAGAACUCCAGAUUUAGACGACCUGCAACUCGAGGAGACCGUGACCUGCAGCUGGCUAGCACGGCGCCUGCUAGUAUUUCGAACGGCCGCAGUAGUCUCCAUGGUGCACCUGAACUUCAGACAUAAAAAAUAAGGAGCUCCUUCUGCAGAUUUGGGAACACUGUUUGUUGUAGAUCAGAAUCAAUUAGAUAAAGAAUUAGCACCUAGUGAUAGACAAACAUCAGAUAGUCGGCCGUGGACAUAAAGCAUAGGUAGGGUGCAGGGCAGGGCUGAGCCGGCUGGAGGAGGCAAGGUUCAGGGCGGGGACGCUCAGCUGCGCAUGGGAGGACGGGGGUGCAGGGCAGGGACCAGCAGCGGCGCACUGGAGCAAGCGGGGUUCUGGGUGGGAACGCGUGGCAGUGCCCGGGAGGAGCGGGAGGGGCUGAAGUCCAAACCCACCUCGCCCUGAAGGAGAUGGCAAGCCUCGCGCCGGAAGGAGGCUGGGCAACGGCGCGCCAGGAGGAGGUGGGUACGACGGCCUCGCACCGGGAGGACAAGUGGCGGCGCGUCGAGAGGCGGCACACAGGGAGGAGUCGGGGCGGCGGCGCGCCGGGAGGAGGCGAGACCGGUCGUGCGCGUGGAGAGGGAGUGGCUUCCGGCGACGUCAAAGCGGCCUCCGGCAGAAGGUCAACGGUACCCCAUGCUGCGGUUCGAACACCACUGCGGAGGAGGGAUUUGAGCGCGGGUCCUCUGUGGCAGUGCGUGGUGGAUGGAUGUGGUCGCCGGGAUCCAGGAAACGACCACGGGCGCUGGCCGCAUAUGGAGGGUGGGCGGGGCGCCCCGAGGAAGGCGAGACGGUGGGCCGUGGUGGUUGGCCGGAUCAAGGCGACGGAGGCGGUUGGCGGCGCGCAUGGAGGGAGGGCCGUUGUGGUUGAAGCAGGGGGAGGCGGCCACCAUGCUUGAAGCAGGGGAGAN
This 1399-nucleotide long non-coding RNA is filed under the name Triticum aestivum (bread wheat). Its description in RNAcentral is "long non-coding RNA (TAES_LNC016652)". Lineage: Eukaryota; Viridiplantae; Streptophyta; Magnoliopsida; Poales; Poaceae. The record is from RNAcentral.